RNAcentral lists this long non-coding RNA (572 nucleotides) under Arachis ipaensis. Its description in RNAcentral is "long non-coding RNA (AIPA_LNC001564)". The record is from RNAcentral. Lineage: Eukaryota; Viridiplantae; Streptophyta; Magnoliopsida; Fabales; Fabaceae.
UUAGGGAUAAAAACAUACAUAGUCUAUCAAAAGUUUUUUUUAUCACGAGCCAUAAAAGAUAGAAGAAUAUAUAUGGCGAGAAACUGUGUGACACUCGCACUAACAAUAUUGAUUAUUGGAAUGGUUUUUUGUGUUGCUGAUGAAUUUCAUGACAAUAUUGCUAAACAAUUUAAUCCAUCUUAUUAUUAUAUUGCAAUGAUAGCUCGUAGACAGUGUAUUGCAAGCUGUAAAAGGCAUUCUCGCCACCCAAUAGUUUUGUUUUUGUGCACUAGUAGUUGCGCAACUAGAUACGCAUUUGACUAGUACUUUAGUAAUAGUAAUUAUCUAAAUUAUUAUGAAUGUUCUUUUGAGUUUUUGUGAUUUCUUUGUUUUCAUAUUCUGAAAUAUGAAUAUUUUAUAUUUGAUGUAAUAAAUUCUCUCUUGAUUAAUGAGUGUUGAGAGAUUAAUGAUGAAAAAAUAAUCAAAGGUAUUCACCUAAUUGUAAUUGAAUAAUUUAAGCAAAUUUAUUGGGUGCUUAAAAGUGGACAUUCAUAAUAAUGUAUGAAUCACAAGUACAUCAUACUUUUAUCUUC